GCUUACGGCCAUACCACCUUAGGCACGCCCGAUCUUGUCUGAUCUCGGAAGUUAAGCAGGGUCGGGCCUGGUUAGUACUUGGAUGGGUGACCGCCUGGGAAUACCAGGUGCAUUAAGAA
Molecule: ribosomal RNA, 119 nt
Organism: Gadus morhua (Atlantic cod)
Lineage: Eukaryota; Metazoa; Chordata; Actinopteri; Gadiformes; Gadidae
Source: Ensembl